UACGGGGGGGGCAAGCGUUGUUCGGAGUUACUGGGCGUAAAGGGUUCGUAGGUGGCCAACUAAGUCAGACGUGAAAUCCCUCGGCUUAACCGGGGAACUGCGUCUGAUACUGGAUGGCUUGAGUUUGGGAGAGGGAUGCGGAAUUCCAGGUGUAGCGGUGAAAUGCGUAGAUAUCUGGAGGAACACCGGUGGCGAAGGCGGCAUCCUGGACCAACACUGACACUGAGGAGCGAAAGCCAGGGGAGCAAACGGG
RNAcentral lists this ribosomal RNA (253 nucleotides) under uncultured bacterium. RNAcentral describes it as "partial 16S ribosomal RNA". It matches the Rfam family "Bacterial small subunit ribosomal RNA", at positions 524 to 776 of the family's 1533-position model. The record is from RNAcentral.